Rattus norvegicus (Norway rat) is the source of this 4522-nucleotide non-coding RNA. Lineage: Eukaryota; Metazoa; Chordata; Mammalia; Rodentia; Muridae. The record is from RefSeq and is a predicted model, not a curated record.
GUUCUUUUUUUCAGAGCUGGGGACCGAACCCAGGGCCUUGCGUUUCCUAGGCUUUCGCCCAAUUCUCGGUACUAUGUCAGUGCUGGCGCCGACAAAUGGAGGUCCCACCGAGAUCAGAGAAGAAAGGGGGUACCACCUACGGGACGUCCCUGGAGCCCGGCCGGCAUAGGAGAAGGGACGGAUUGGAGAGGAAAACCAGAAGUGACUUCAAGUACAUCUCUGACACUGAUGAGACCUUGGGUGAUGUUCUCUGACAUCAUCAACUGUGCUGACAAACCGUGAGCUGUGUUGUUUUUGUGCCAGUUUUCCAUAGCCGCCUCUUCCAGCAUCGUAGUCUGUCCCAUGCGCGACUUUCCGCCGGCAAGAAGCACGCGAGACAUAGAAAUUCUUGCUAUGAGUGAUACUUUAUUCCUAUCUCAUGGAGAAGCCCCGCGCGCCAGCUAGGCGCGCCUAUUUAUCCCUCGGGCAUGCAUCCAUGCCUGAUUGGUUGCUUACUCAUGAUCUCAUCAGGCACGCCCCGGAAUGGGCAAAGACCUGGCAGGAAGGCACUCUUGCACAUGCGCAGUUAACUUCCUGAUAGGGGGGCCAGCUGGCGCAGCGAAGGCUGGCGCCAUCUUGACUGACUUGGCCUUCCACGUGGGGCGCAGUGGAAGCCAGCGCCAUCUAACGGUCGCGCAUGUUAUUGCGGCCCUCUACAUCUCACCCUUAUAAUUAUAAUUUUAUAGCAGAAAUGAUCACCCUAUCGCGUGCAAUGAGGAAACCUCAGCGAUGUGCAAGGGCUGAUCAAAGGAACACUGAGUCUCUCUCAAUCCCAGUGCAAUGGAUCCACAGAUCCAUGGGGUGCAGGAGCAGAGAACUCAGAUACAGAGAGUAUCCCUCUCCUCCCAGUGCAAUGGACCCACAGGUCCAUGGGGUGCAGGAGCAGGGAACUCAAAUACAGAGUAAAUCCUGAACAAGAUAACCAAAUUUCAGGUAAGGCCCUUUGUUCUAAUGGCUGUAAGUGUUUGAGUGAUAACGGCCUUGUCAUGUUACUGUUGAGAUCUGAGUUUGUAAACCAACCAUAGUAUGAACACUGAUCCACAGCAUAGGGCUGCAUCAGACAGAGCCACUCCCGAUAAGUAGUGGGCACCUCAUAUGGUCCUCCUCAGCUGUUGCCACCAAGGGCCGUGGUCAAGCCACUCCUAUAAUGAAAUUUAGAAUUUCCAAUUGUUAGUAACUACUCCAGAAAGUUCACCCACUGUACUUGUCUAACAAUAGAUUGGGGGAGGAUAACUCCAGACACUGCAGACACAAUGUCUGCAGCAGUAAUGGCUGCUACAAUAGCAGCGAAAGUGUCAAGGUCUUUUCCAGGACAGUUCAGGAUCAGUCAUUUUUCUCUGGAACAACCAGCAGACAAUGGAACCAUUUCUGAGAUCUGUAUGACCAGGACAGAGUUCUCCAGUCAUUGUAGCUUUACGCAGGUAGCUUUCUGUGAAGCUACAGUCUGUAAAAUGACAACACCAGUUACCAGUUAAGGCAGCAAGAGUCACCAGGGAAAUGAAAGGACAGGGGUAACAGCUAGAGUCCAGUCUUCUCCAGGAAACAGCAGUGUACAGAGUCUGAGUGUAGGCCACAAUGGGACGGGAACACACGCAGGCAGCGGUAACACUGACUGCAGCAAUGGCAAAAUCUCUGUGAUGACAAAGGAUGAAGGGGAAUCUUCUAUCUUCCUCUCAGGGCAGAGGGAUGACUCCAGGGACCCGAACCAGGAGAGCUGAAUCUUCAUGCUCCCAGGAUCAGCAUGUCUCACCAGACACUCAGGCAGCUGGCACAUUCCUGCAGCAUCCUGUAGAAAAAACACAAACAUUCCCUCUUCCCCAUAUAAAAUAUCUGGACAGGAACAUGUCAAUAAGUGGAUCUCUCUAUUUCACCUAGGCAGAAGUAUGCCUAGUUGUAGGGUGCCAUAAACUUUGGCAUCCAAAUUUUUAAAAUUGAAAUAUUUUAAAAUUGAAAUAAAAGGAGCAUUAUUUAGCAUACAGGGAUAACUCCCCCUUUUUAUUUAUAAAGAUAUAGUAAAGAUAUUAUUUAUUAAGGUAAGUCCUCGAGGAUUAAGUUGAGGACACUGAGCACUUGUAUUUAUAAAUUAACUUGUAUACCAAAUUAUUGUCUCUAGCAUAAUUGUAUUGGAUAUAUAAAGAAUGAGAUUUUUUGACUAACUGUUCUUAUGUAAGGCCUAUAAUCUGUCUGGAAUCUUGUCCUCCCUUGUUAAGGAGCCCAGAAAAUCCAGUUUGAGUUUUUAAAUGUCCUAUAAAGGAACAGUAUAUAGUGCUCUUAACCACUAAGCCAUUUUUCUAGCACCUCACAAACUUUAUUUACCUAAACAUAAGCAUUAAUUAGAAAUGUCAAAUCUUGUAAAUAUUGUCCAGAUUUAGUCUUACUAGAAAUCUCGGAGCUGGCAAGGUGAGGCUGGGAGUUGAAAGUAAACAAAUGGAGUCUUCCUCUUUUCGUGAGGGUGUGUUAUCAACUCUAUUACCAUUUUUAAAGAGCAGGGUCUAUGGUUUUGUUUAGUUGUCUGAGCCAGAGCACUGAAAGGACAAUAAGUUGUCAGACAAUUCACAUUGAAAUCGUCACUCACUGAUUUCAAGUAGAAAACCUGUCUCUAAUAAAGCAUUAAGUAAUUGAAAUCAAUUGUAAACCACAAGCCACACAUUGGCUAUCAGUAUAUGAAUAGAAAGCUUGAUUUAAAAACAGUGGCUACAGGACGUAAUCUAAUAAUCUGUGCUGAAGCAACAGAAACUCAAGAGAAUAAACAAGUGAUCCAAUCAUACAUGUAUCCUUUUCAUUAGAUGAACCACCUAUAAAUACAGUAAGCGCAUUUCCUAUGGGUUGUACGUACAAAUAUACAGGAAAUACAGAAACAUGUAAAGAAUAAAAUUAUCAAUUUUGUCUGAAAAAUUUGUAUAUGUGAUAGGCCAAAUAUCAGUAUUUAGUAGUAACCAAUUAAUUGUUGUUUGGAAUAAGAUAUGUUUUACCAGGUUUCUAUUUAAAAUACUUCCAUGACUCCAGUCCACAACUCUGUACUAACACAGCUGAAGCUUUAUCUCCAAUGUGCAUAACAAAGACCUAAGUCCUCUUUUAAGGUGAGGUACUUAGCCAAUUAACAUAUCUUUAGAAGCUUAAAAUUAGCUUUAAAUAUUCUUAUCCGGAGUAGUGUAACAGCUACUCCCCAAAUAUUAAAGCUCAUUUUGAGAGCAAAGGUUUGUAGUAAACAUUUCCAUAUACUUAGAAAGAUUUAAGUUCUAACUUCUUACACUGAAGAAGCAACAAAAUUACCUAAUAUGAGGCUGUUAACCAUUCUUAAUGAUAUCACUUUAUGGGCUCUCUAAAACUAUAAGCAAGCUCACGAAAUGAAAACUCACAAUUGUUAUGACGAAAACAAAUUGUAUAAAAUCAAUCCUCUAAAUCUGUCUUGAAAUGGCAGUUGGAGUAAGGAAACUGGCUGUAAUGCUCUCACAAGUUCUAAAACCUCAUCAAUCCUUAUAAAUCCUGUAACAAUCUCUACCUGUUUGAUUUUUCCUUAAUUAAAAAUAAGUUUGAGUUAGUCAAUGUAACACUGGCAAUCCUAAAUCACAAUCUUUAAGUUCUCUUUGUAACACCAGAACACAGCCACAAGGUCACCUAAAUUCUGAGUACGUGACUAGGCAGCUGUUCUCCGGGCAGUGGAAAUUAGCAUUAAAAUACAGAUAACUUCUGGGCAAGCCACAACUUAGGAAAGCAAAACUCAACCCCCAACAAACAAUCUAGUCUCCAAGGCACCCCAAGUCUAUCUAUUAUGUUGUAAAGUUUGACUGUCAAUUCUCUCCAAUACCUCAACAAAAGGACAAUUUCCUAAAUUCUUUUAGAAGCCUGGUUUCUAGCAUAAGAAUUCCAUAAAAACAUUACCUCAAUUUAGACCUGUUUCCCUAGGUUGGCCCAUGUCACACGCUAUCUAGAAUGACUCCAUCCAGAUUACUAGCUUUAUGUCAACUUUCUGUUACCAACAUUAUACCCUUUUAACCAUAUCCAAUAACUUGAAAGCCAAUAGUCCACAACCAAGGCAAGUAGAGCAUAUUUAUACAUAUAAAACCAAUAAGAAACAAAAUUGAAAUGGCUACACCUAUCUUUAAUAUUUAGACCAAACACCAUUUUUACCCUUUUGUUAUGAUUUUAGGAGAAGCACCUUGUCACCUGUUGAGUCAAGUAAUAAGUCAGGGAUUUUUUUUUAAGAGAAACAGCUAUCAACUCUUGUAUGAAGAAGCUGUUGGCGCUUUUAAGAUCAGCUCGUGUAGACGCUUAGCUUCUGGUCAGCUUCUCCAGCUAAUCUAGACACCUGGCUCUAGGCACAGGGCUUCAAAAACCUGAUUGAAACUGUUUUUUAUUCAUUUGUUCUUUUUUGAAUCGAGUUAAAACCAAGUCAAGGUGUGCACGACCAGCAGAUAAAGUUUUUUACCAUUUUUUCUUUUGAACAUGAAACAUAAAACAUUUAUACAACGAGAAACGAAAA